UUAAUAAAAUAAGUCUUCCGUCAUUAUCACAGAAUUUAUUAAUGACCUCAAUAUCUGCAUAUUUGUUAAUACCGAUUGCUACCCCCUACUUGCCGAAGUUCCAUUACUGCAGUAAAAAAUAAAAUCCGUAUCCUUUUCAAGACUAGCCUUUGAUUCUUCAUUGAGAUGUGUUUCUUGUAAAAGGGCAAUGGAACACUUAUUACGUUUAACCCAAUCUAUAACUUUUAAUACUUUUUCUUUAUUUUUCAUACCAUUAACAUUAAGUGUGCAUAAAUUAAUAUUUGUCAUUGUACGUGUAGUUUAAAGGGUAAUUUAAUUUCGUUGACUUAUCUGUACGAUCUAUUUUAACAUUAAAAUACAAAUUUUCAAUCGAUAAUAGGUAGAAAAACGUGACCUUAUUUAACCUCGUGUCAAUUAUUAACCCGUGAAGUACGGGCGUACCCAGGUACAAACGGUUUGUUUCAUCACAUGCUACAUUGUGUAUAGGAAAGCAUUCAAUUUGGAUAAAUAAAUCUACUGCUAUCGAUUUAGUUGGAUUAUAUUGCAGUUCACUAAAAACUAAGUGUAAUAAAAAUAGUGUGUGAAUUAAACACUCUAAACAAAUGAAUUGAGUAUGUCGCAAUUGAAAAGUGCACUUAUAUAUGUGGCAGACUAUAGUUGAGUCUGAAUUUAGAAAGAAUUUAAAAACUAAUUUAGAAUUCAUACCUAAAUGUCUUUUUGGAUUACUUUUACGAUUUUGAAACGACUGUUUUCUGAAGAAGAUUACAUUUCUAAAAAGUUCUAGCAAUGAUUUUUUCGACUACGACGAUGGGAACAGUUUCUAUCAUCUAAAACAGAAGAUUGAUAAAACAUUUCCAAAUGCUAAUAUAGAAUGUAAUUCAAUUCGGGAUGUUUAUGAUGUUGGUGGUCCCUUCAGAUCUUAUGAGUGGUUAACUGUUACAAUAGGAAAACGUAAAUAUUGUACUGAAGUGAAUUGGCGGUCGAAUACAUUUUGCGACCAGAUAAUAAAAGAGAUCAGAGACGGCCUUGAGGAAGCAAAAGACAGAGAUGGCUGGUGGUACUGGUUGAAGAACAACCUCUUGUAGCUGCUUACACAAUACGUCAAUAGACAAAUUACAAAAUGUUGCUUUUCCUGACCAUAUACCAAAACGUGUACUGGUGAUACAUGAAUAUCAUAAAUUUUUGCAGGACUUAUGAGUUGAAUACUUAAUUAUAUUUUAUGUGAAUACAACGUUAAUAGUUGCAUUACCACUAAAAGGUGUUUUGUUGUGAUUUUGAAUAGACCUUCUUUUAAUAUAAUUGAUUAACGCUUAAUUUUUCUACAAUUUUUAUUUUAAAAUUACAGUUUUGCCAUGUUUUAAUGAGAGUAUUAGUAUUGUAUUUACCGAUAUUGUCCAUAUAGUUUUGGAAUAAAUGUUGAAACAUA
RNA transcript from Mytilus californianus (California mussel), 1426 nucleotides. RefSeq lists it as uncharacterized. The record is from RefSeq and is a predicted model, not a curated record. The transcript has 4 exons. Lineage: Eukaryota; Metazoa; Mollusca; Bivalvia; Mytilida; Mytilidae.